UGAUUCACGUGUGAAUAAAACGAUGAUUUAUUUUAGCCGCUUUUAAUUGAAAUCAACCAAGAUAUGCUGCCCUCCCCUAACCCCGUGAAUCAAGCACACCACCCUAAAAUUUAACUAAAGUUAAAAAAUAUAUAAAUUAAUUUUUAGAACUUUAAGAGGGUGGACCCAAAACUCAGUUUUUGUUUAUUCCGCUAUUUUGAUUGAUGUUUUUGUAAAGCAGUAAACCUUAAAAACACAUAGAAGCUUUAAGAUGUUCAAGAGAUCAGAGCCGAAGAGCUCUUGCCAACGGAAGUAAUGGACAAGCUAAGUCAGGAA
This is a non-coding RNA of Hydra vulgaris (swiftwater hydra), 315 nucleotides long. Lineage: Eukaryota; Metazoa; Cnidaria; Hydrozoa; Anthoathecata; Hydridae. The record is from RefSeq and is a predicted model, not a curated record.